GAAUUGACGGGGGCCCGCACAAGCAGUGGAGUAUGUGGUUUAAUUCGAAGCAACGCGAAGAACCUUACCAGGUCUUGACAUCGUGCGCAUAACCUAGAGAUAGGUGAAGCCCUUCGGGGCGCAUAGACAGGUGGUGCAUGGUUGUCGUCAGCUCGUGUCGUGAGAUGUUGGGUUAAGUCCCGCAACGAGCGCAACCCUUAUUACUAGUUGCUACGCAAGAGCACUCUAGUGAGACUGCCGUUGACAAAACGGAGGAAGGUGGGGAUGACGUCAAAUCAUCAUGCCCCUUAUGACCUGGGCUACACACGUACUACAAUGGCACUUUAACAGAGGGCUGCUACAUCGCGAGGUGAAGCGAAUCCCGAAAAAGUGUCUCAGUUCGGAUUGCAGGCUGCAACUCGCCUGCAUGAAGUCGGAAUUGCUAGUAAUCGCGGAUCAGCAUGCCGCGGUGAAUACGUUCCCGGGCCUUGUACACACCGCCCGUCACACCAUGGGAGUCGGUAACACCCGAAGCCAGUAGUCUAACCGCAAGGGGGACGCUGUCGAAGGUGGGAUUGAUGACUGGGGUGAAGUCGUAACAAGGUAGCCGUAUCGGAAGGUGCGGCUGGAUCACCUCCUUUCUG
This 623-nucleotide ribosomal RNA is filed under the name uncultured Anaerotruncus sp. RNAcentral describes it as "bacterial SSU rRNA". It matches the Rfam family "Bacterial small subunit ribosomal RNA", at positions 907 to 1533 of the family's 1533-position model. The record is from RNAcentral. Lineage: Bacteria; Bacillati; Bacillota; Clostridia; Eubacteriales; Oscillospiraceae.